GAUGAAGAACGCAGUGAAAUGCGAUAAGUAAUGUGAAUUGCAGAAUUCAGUGAAUCAUCGAAUCUUUGAACGCAUCUUGCGCUCCUUGGUAUUCUGAGGAGCAUGCCUGUUUGAGUGUCAUUAAAUUCUCAACUACACUGACUUUGAAUUGGUGUGGCUUGGAUUUGGGGGGAAAAUUGUUGUGGGCUUUUUGUAUAGUCUGCUCCCCUGAAAUUGAUUAGCGGUACCUUUGUGGAACUGUCUACAGGUGUGAUAAUUAUCUACAUCUUAGACAUCUGCUGGAAUGCUGCUUUCUAAACCUUACUUGUAUUGACAAUCUUGACCUCAAAGCAGGUAGGACUACCCGCUGAACUUAAGCAUAUCAAUAAGCGGAGGA
This 376-nucleotide unclassified non-coding RNA is filed under the name soil metagenome. RNAcentral's name for it is "partial contains 5.8S ribosomal RNA, internal transcribed spacer 2, and large subunit ribosomal RNA". The stretch from base 1 to 120 matches the Rfam family "5.8S ribosomal RNA", at positions 35 to 154 of the family's 154-position model. The record is from RNAcentral.